UCCAUAAACAUUUUCCAAAAGCUUUUUGGCGGAAGAUUAUAUCACAACAUUUCCUAUGAGUUUUUUCCGUGGAAACUUUUCGAAUUUUGUUCUAUGGAAGAUUGUUUCGUAAAACUUGUCAUUUAUCACAAAAAACUUCCUCAAGAAUGUUUUUCUGAUAUUUUCUUGUUUGGAUAGUAACUCUUUCAUUUCUUGUUCGGUUGAAAUACACGAAGUUUUGUUUUCAUAUCCUUCUUUUAAUAAGCUUGGUUUAUGCGGUGUAGUUUCUUUGACAAUUCCGGCUCAUAUUUGUUUAAGGUUCUUUUUCUAAGAAGAUAUUUAGCCGUUGAUUUCGUUGACCGAUUUUGACCC
This 351-nucleotide long non-coding RNA is filed under the name Brassica napus (rape). RNAcentral describes it as "long non-coding RNA (BNAP_LNC006640)". The record is from RNAcentral. Lineage: Eukaryota; Viridiplantae; Streptophyta; Magnoliopsida; Brassicales; Brassicaceae.